CCUUGCCUAACCGCUUAUAAACGCCUACCAAAUCUGGGAUCUUCCGCAGCUAAUCCCUUCCCCCACUUCCUCCAGUCCACCACCACCAAAUCUUGCACCACAUGGACGCCGCCGCCGCCCCAUCCAAGAGACCCAGGACCUCGGCGGCUUCCGUCGCCGGCACGCCGCGGAAGCCCAAGAACGCGCCCGCGGCCAGCGCCUUGCUCCCAGUUCCCGGCCAGGCCGCGACGCCGGACAAGACGGAGCGGCGGCCGCUGCUGCGGAGGGCGGCGGGCAAGGGCGCCGUCGCGCUCUCCGUCAAGGAGGUCCGGCGGGCCGCGCUCCAGCUGCGGCGCGCCGACAAGGGCCCUGCUGUGGCCGAGGAGGAGGACGCGCUCGAGUCCGUCGCAAGGGAGCUCGGCGUCGGCGCCGGCGCCGGACGCAGCCCCGUCAAGCGCAGGCCCGAGGUCAAGCUGCCCCAGAGCUACGAGACGCUCUGCGAGUUCUUCAACUGCUUCGAGAGCUCCACCCGGCUGCUCCGCAUGAAGGGGUCCAAGGCGACGUUCCCCAACAUCUGCGCCAGUGUCCAGAACCUGGCCGACAGGAGGUUCACCUACGGCCACCUUGCGCAGCUCAAGUACAUAAUGCCCGAGGCGAUCGUCAUCAAUAAGAUCCUUCUGCGCGACGAGAAGACCUGCUGCAUGAAGCCCGAUCUUCAGGUGAACCUGCUGGCUGAUGCGGUCGAGGGCAGCGUGCUGCAGAAGGGGGAGACCCGCUACGCGGCCCUCAGGAGGAUCUUCAGGCAGAGGCUGGUGGAUUUCUUCAGGAACCAUCCCGAGGGAGAUGAUAUUCCAGAGCAUGAGCUGCCGCAUCCGUUUACUCAAACAAAACCAAGCGUAGCUCAGAUCACACCUCGACUCGUUCCUGAAGCUGUAUGUGCUGUGGCAUCACCGUCUCUGGCUGAACAGCAGCCUGUUGGGAUGUCACACAUGUCACACUCCUUCAAGAGGAGGUUCUCGCAGAGAUCUUUAAACAGCCUUGGAACUGCCAGCACAACAAGUCCACUGGCAAACGCUGAGUCUGCCGCUUCAUCUCCAUCGAGCAGAAAGUCGGUGCCCAGUUCUGUUUCUGGUGGCACAGAGAAAGGUGGCAAGGAUGUUGCGCCCAGGUUUGGUGCUUCAGAAGGAACUCCUGCCAAGUUCGUCUCUACACCGGUCAGAUUAAUGGCAGCCACACCAGGCCUUGACACCCCAAAGAGGCCAACCUCUGGUACCAUGUGCGAUACGCCACAGCUGCAGACGGUCAAGCGAUCAGCCAGGGCCAAAUUGUUCAUGACACCCACAAAGGAUGCAAGCACUACGCAAGAGGAGAUCCAAAGCACAAGCACGUCUACCAUCGAUGCCGAUGAUGAGCUGCUCAGUUUCCUUCCAAAGUCCCUCUUGCAAUCCGUAAAGCAGAAGGAGAAGAGAGCUUUAGCGGAGAAGGAAACAGGAUUUGCUGAUCAGGUGCAAAGGCAGAAGCUUAUAUCGUCCCUGCCGAACACCUUUGAUAUUAUCUUUCUUAUCUAUCAGUCGAGGCAGCGCUCUGUACUGGCAAAGCAUGAGCUCGUCGACAGGAUAAUUGACCGUAGCCCAAAGAUUGUUGACAAGGGUGAGAUUGAAGAGCAACUGAGAUUGCUGCAAGAGUUUAUUCCAGAGUGGAUCUCCGAGAAGGCUGCAUUAAGUGGAGAUGUCCUCUGCUGCAUCGAUACAUCACUAAGCCAGUCAGAGAUUCGACAAAGGUUGCAGGGUGUCGAGUAGGGUGAAGCACAAAAUUUGUGCACCUUGUUUAGAAAUGUAGCAGUAUCAUAGUGCACGUUUGUGCCUAGAGGCUAGAAGUUGUCUUCACUUCUGUUCCAAGGUAGAUGCAGCAGAGGCAGGGAUUCGGCAAUGGUUGUAUGGUGCCUAGAGGCUGGAAGAAGGUAUCAAGAUAUACUGCCUCCGCAUUUCAGGAGAAAAAAAGUUUAAUUACAAGAGUAAAACUGGCCUGGCCAGCAUAAAGGGGAAAAAGGACUACUCUUGUCUAUCAGGCGCCAUGCUGGCUCAUCAACAGUGUCCCUAGAAGGCUGUUCUAAGCGCAGCCAAGCCUCACAAAUCUUACGAAGCUACAGGUCUUGCUGAAUGUGCUAGAGGAGCUAGGCUUCCGUGCUUUGAAUCUGCAGAAAAACCUGCUGGUUUGUUUCCAUCCACAGGUGCCAACAAUGUCAGCUGUUAGAGAUUUGGCUUCAACACCGGUCCUACUUCAGUCCACCGUUGCUCUGUGGAGGCACUCAUUCGACCAAAAUAUGAGCAUGUCAUGGCCAUCCCGAUCAGCCAUUAUGGGUAUAUAGCUGAAAUAUUAUCCAUGAUGGGUAAAUCCAUUCUCCCAACUCUUCAUAUAAGUAUGCAUCUCCUGUCCUAAUCUGAAUGUUUGAUCCAAUUCAUGGAUUUAAAGUUUCGUUCAGCUGGAGAUAGUUUGGGUCUUCUGCUGCCGAUGAAGUUUGUGAAGGUAUUGUACACAUCAAUUUUAAUGAGCUCUCCUAGGUUGCAAGGUGCCCAUUUCGGCUAAUAGGGGCUCAUGAAAGAUAGGAGAUAAUUGCAAGUGCCAGCUAAUUGCAAGAUUGCGCUAAGGUGGAUCACACAUCUUAUCAUAAUGUGGCAUAUAUUACAAUAGGUCAAUACUAUAGGAUACACAACGAUGUAUCAACUAGCCAGGCAUCCGUCAUUGUUUGGCCAUAGACUGGCCAGGCAUACAUACAUAAUAAAUGUAAUUUUGUCUGUUGAUAGCAUACUAAAUGACUAUACUUUCACACUUUUCAUGUAAUUAAAAGAAGGUUGUGGUUGGUAAUGAAAAAUCUGGUAGGUGCGUUUC
Molecule: RNA transcript, 2868 nt
Organism: Lolium perenne
Lineage: Eukaryota; Viridiplantae; Streptophyta; Magnoliopsida; Poales; Poaceae
Gene name: CDT1-like protein a, chloroplastic
Source: RefSeq, a predicted model, not a curated record